Molecule: ribosomal RNA, 245 nt
Filed under: uncultured bacterium
Lineage: Bacteria
Description: partial 16S ribosomal RNA
Rfam family: Bacterial small subunit ribosomal RNA
Source: RNAcentral
UACGGGGGUGGCGAGCGUUACUCGGAUUUAUUGGGUGUAAAGGGCAGGUAGGCGGGCCGAAAAGUCCCCUUUGAAAUCCUCCGGCUUAACCGGAGAACUGGGGGGGAAACUUUCGGUCUUGAGGCCAACAGAGGAGAGUGGAAUUCCCGGUGUAAGGGUGAAAUCUGUAGAUAUCGGGAGGAACACCAGUGGCGAAGGCGGCUCUCUGGGUUGGCCCUGACGCUCAAGCUGCGAAAGCUAGAGUA